RNAcentral lists this ribosomal RNA (505 nucleotides) under uncultured bacterium. Its description in RNAcentral is "partial 16S ribosomal RNA". It matches the Rfam family "Bacterial small subunit ribosomal RNA", at positions 28 to 507 of the family's 1533-position model. The record is from RNAcentral.
GACGAACGCUGGCGGCGUGCCUAAUACAUGCAAGUAGAACGCACAGUUUAUACCGUAGCUUGCUACACCAUAGACUGUGAGUUGCGAACGGGUGAGUAACGCGUAGGUAACCUGCCUGGUAGCGGGGGAUAACUAUUGGAAACGAUAGCUAAUACCGCAUAAUAUUGAUUAUUGCAUGAUAAUUGAUUGAAAGAUGCUAUUGCAUCACUACCAGAUGGACCUGCGUUGUAUUAGCUAGUAGGUGAGGUAACGGCUCACCUAGGCGACGAUACAUAGCCGACCUGAGAGGGUGAGCGGCCACACUGGGACUGAGACACGGCCCAGACUCCUACGGGAGGCAGCAGUAGGGAAUCUUCGGCAAUGGACGAAAGUCUGACCGAGCAACGCCGCGUGAGUGAAGAAGGUUUUCGGAUCGUAAAGCUCUGUUGUAAGAGAAGAACGGGUGUGAGAGUGGAAAGUUCACACUGUGACGGUAUCUGACCAGAAAGGGACGGCUAACUACGUG